AUCUACCUGACGAGUCCCAAGCAGAACGAAACGCGCGUCCUGGAU
Molecule: non-coding RNA, 45 nt
Organism: Schistosoma curassoni
Lineage: Eukaryota; Metazoa; Platyhelminthes; Trematoda; Strigeidida; Schistosomatidae
Source: Rfam